Molecule: ribosomal RNA, 253 nt
Filed under: uncultured bacterium
Lineage: Bacteria
Description: partial 16S ribosomal RNA
Rfam family: Bacterial small subunit ribosomal RNA
Source: RNAcentral
ACGUAGGUGGCAAUCGUUGUCCGAAUUUAUUGGGCGUAAAGGGAGCGCAGGCGGUUUUUUAAGUCUGAAUGUGAAAGCCCUCAUCUUAACUGAAGAAGAGCAUCAGAAACUGGAAGACUUGAGUGCAGAAGAGGAGAGUGGAACUCCAUGUGUAGCGGUGAAAUGCGUAGAUAUAUGGAAGAACACCAGUGGCGAAGGCGGCUCUCUGGUCUGUUACUGACGCUGAGGCUCGAAAGCAUGGGUAGCGAACAGG